UUAAUCAUGGGGAGGUCUUCACCGAACGAUAAACUUUUACUCGUAAGGCACAAAUGGUUUGUGAAUUACUAAUCUUCAUUUUGUUUUGCGUCAAUUUCUGAAGCAAUCUUCUUGACGUGUUGAAGAACCAUCACCACAUUUUUGAAUUUGUAGGCCGAUACUGAAGUUGCCAAGGAGAGUUCUGACAUUAUUAUCUUGGAUGGAUGAGAAUUUUGCUUCACUCGUGAGGGUUGUCAAAAGAUGGGUCGUUUGGGCUAUGCAAACGUUCAGAAAUUCAUACAGUUCCAGCGAACUGUUAACAACAUUGCAGCCUUGAUAAUUAAUGUAGUUUCUGCUGUCAGUUCUGGUGACGUGCCACUGGACAAGUGUUCUCUCUCACCAUAUAUUGUGUAAUAUACAGUAUAUUAACCGUUAAUGUAGUCCAGGUUUAAAUAUGUUCUUAUGAGAACCUUCAGAUCACUGGACAAGUGUUCUUUCUCACCAUAUAUUGUUGUGUAAAGUUCACCGUAUAUAGUUUGUCCAAGGGUAUUUUCUUCGUGCUCA
This is a long non-coding RNA of Triticum dicoccoides, 543 nucleotides long. RefSeq lists it as uncharacterized. The record is from RefSeq and is a predicted model, not a curated record. NCBI's taxonomy places the organism in Eukaryota, Viridiplantae, Streptophyta, Magnoliopsida, Poales, Poaceae. The transcript is spliced from 2 exons.